RNAcentral lists this ribosomal RNA (305 nucleotides) under uncultured bacterium. RNAcentral describes it as "bacterial SSU rRNA". It matches the Rfam family "Bacterial small subunit ribosomal RNA", at positions 335 to 634 of the family's 1533-position model. The record is from RNAcentral.
UGCCUACGGGGCGCAGCAGUGGGGAAUAUUGCGCAAUGGGCGAAAGCCUGACGCAGCGACGCCGCGUGAGGGAUGAAGGUCUUCGGAUCGUAAACCUCUGUCAGCAGGGAAGAACGGUCACUGUGCUAAUCAGCAGUGAAUUGACGGUACCUGCAAAGGAAGCACCGGCUAACUACGUGCCAGCAGCCGCGGUAAUACGUAGGUGGCGAGCGUUAUCCGGAUUUAUUGGGUUUAAAGGGUGCGCAGGCGGGAGAUCAAGUCAGCGGUAAAAUGUCGGGGCUCAACCCCGGCCGACCGUUGAAACU